This 714-nucleotide long non-coding RNA is filed under the name Setaria viridis. RNAcentral describes it as "long non-coding RNA (SVIR_LNC008806)". Lineage: Eukaryota; Viridiplantae; Streptophyta; Magnoliopsida; Poales; Poaceae. The record is from RNAcentral.
GUAGACAUAUAUAGAGUAAUGUUGCAUGCAGGGCCAGUGUAAGCCAACUGUAUACAAGCAACGCGAUCGUUACCAUUACUACAUAAUGGGAUGCCGGUGCACAUUAGUUUGAGAAAUCAUUUCAUUAACAAGGAGCAAGACCUUUUAAGACACGUCAUUACACGGUGUGUCUAUAUUUUUCUUUCUUUCUCGUGUAGCCUGAAUCGGUUGCAAUCCAACCAAAGCCCAUACCGACGAAACCUCCUUUCCUACCCAUGACAUGACAGCCCAAAUGGUCCAUCCCGUUGCUACCAAAUCAAGGCCCAAUGACUUCAUCCCCUCCACCAGCACAAACAUUGGCGAGGCCCAAACCAACCCACCCCUUUCCUCCCUCCCUCCCUUCCGAGUCUCCGACCCUCCUCUCCUCUUCAUGUGAAACGGCGCAUCCCUCCCUCACGUAGCACUCCUCCAGGUCGCCCCCUCUCCUUGCUCAUGCAGUCAUGCCAAUAAACCUGGACACCAUAAAAACAAAGAAAGAACCAAUCCCCUCCCCUUCUCACGUCACCCUCUGGUCCCACCUCUCUCGUUUCUUAGAUCAGAUCACGACAGAAUCAGUCAUGGCCUUGGCCUCUUCCCUUCCUCAUCCAUGGUCGCACCCUCCUAAAUCUCCCCUCUCCCACCUUCCUAACCAACAAAACGGAGAGCCCUCAUUCUCAUUGUUCUGUUUCACCACUG